This 82-nucleotide signal recognition particle RNA is filed under the name marine sediment metagenome. RNAcentral describes it as "Bacterial small signal recognition particle RNA". It matches the Rfam family "Bacterial small signal recognition particle RNA", at positions 9 to 84 of the family's 97-position model. From Rfam's summary of the family: The signal recognition particle (SRP) is a universally conserved ribonucleoprotein involved in the co-translational targeting of proteins to membranes. Archaeal SRP consists of a 7S RNA and homologues of the eukaryotic SRP19 and SRP54 proteins. In most bacteria, the SRP consists of a 4.5S RNA and the Ffh protein (a homologue of the eukaryotic SRP54 protein). The record is from RNAcentral. RNAcentral also lists the same sequence under 1 other name.
UCCUCCGCAAUAGGAAGGUGCUCAACUCCGUCAGGACCGGGAGGUAGCAGCGGUCGGCAUUCGGACUAUGUGCCGGAGGGGA